RNAcentral lists this long non-coding RNA (1052 nucleotides) under Capsella grandiflora. Its description in RNAcentral is "long non-coding RNA (CGRA_LNC000119)". Lineage: Eukaryota; Viridiplantae; Streptophyta; Magnoliopsida; Brassicales; Brassicaceae. The record is from RNAcentral.
UUCUGCAUCAAUUCUGUAUUGCGGAAAAAGAUAAAUAUGGACAUUGUCCUUCUGCACCACAUGUCCAAUAUUACACAACACAUGGUUCAGAUCCACUGUUUAUACUUUAUGUAUGUGUCUGUUAUGUUCCAAGAUAUUUAAGGCCUGACAAUUUCAGAAAAUUCUAGAAGAGAAGGAGAUGGCAGAUGCGGCAAAACAUAUUUGGAUUAUGCGAACACAUGAAGAAGCUUCAAGUCAUUGGAAUGAGACUUUUGGGCAUUUGGAGAAUCCAAAUUGUUAGAAGGUACAGUUUCAUUCGUUCCAUUCUUGAUGGAGAUUUUUUACUUCCAAGAAACUUGAUGUCUGCUAGAGCCUAGAUGUCUGCAAAUUAUUCUGCCGGAUAGAAAAAGCUUUUUGUCAUAGCAUACCUUGAACACUUGAGCAAACUUUGAGUUAGACCUCAAUCUCCAAAGAAGCGUACCUCGAAAGAUGGAUAUAUGUUUUAAGGUCAUUUACUGGAUUGUGGAUGUAUUUCGUUGAUUGGUAACAACAGCUAAAUAAAAUCUUACAUCUAUUAAGGAGCUUAUUAUUGAUAAUGUUCGAGAUAUUAGAGAUAUACCAGUGUUUUCUUGUAGCAAUCAAAUAGUUGGAUCUUAAGACUUUGAUUUAACUCUAUGAGAUGCUAACUUGAAAGGCUGAAAAAAGUGUAAAAAAACCUAAAAUUUCCAAAAUAAAAGAGAGAAGAGAUAUGUUGGAACAAUAGAGAACUUAUAGGAUGACUAUAAUGAGAUGAUGAGAUUCCAAAGUGAAGUGGCCACAUGCUUCAUCAUGAAUUUUAGGGGAGUUUCACCAAAAGCAUUCAUCUAAAGAUAGGUGUAUUGUGUUGAUGAGCAUAGAUAGACUUUCGAAACAACCAAUAACCCCAUUUAAUUUAUCACAUCUUUUACCCAACUUGGGGAGACUAAGGUCGUGCAUAGGGUGCAAAAGAACAUCAAUUAGUUGGCUUACUAAAUUAGUUUGAUCUACAUUCAAGAAAAGUCUGAUUUUUGUUUUGUUUCCAACUCAAAAAAGAA